Molecule: transfer RNA, 72 nt
Filed under: Candidatus Kaiserbacteria bacterium
Lineage: Bacteria; Candidatus Kaiseribacteriota
Description: tRNA-His
Rfam family: tRNA
About the family: Transfer RNA (tRNA) molecules are approximately 80 nucleotides in length. Their secondary structure includes four short double-helical elements and three loops (D, anti-codon, and T loops).
Source: RNAcentral
GUGCCUAUGGUGUAAUGGUUAGCACUUGGGCUUGUGGAGCCCACAGAGAGGGUUCGAAUCCCUCUAGGCACC